GGCAGCGGCGGCGGCGAUGAGACAGAAGCACUACCUUGAGGCUGCAGCGCGGGGACUGCACGACAGCUGCCCGGGCCAAGCCCGCUACCUCCUGUAAGAGGACUGGAGGGGAAGCGGGAGGCGAGCGGGCCAGUAUGCAAGCAAAUCCUGUUGGCUUUAAAAUGUAGCCAAAAUCAGCCAGGAGC
RNAcentral lists this small RNA (185 nucleotides) under Pan troglodytes (chimpanzee). RNAcentral describes it as "processed transcript". Lineage: Eukaryota; Metazoa; Chordata; Mammalia; Primates; Hominidae. The record is from RNAcentral.